UCUCCCAAAUCUUUUAUCGCCGAAUCUCUUCUUUCUCCCAUCUCACCGAUGCCUCUAUUCCCAAUACCUCACCUCUCCUAAUUCCGUCCCCUGCCUGAACUCGAUCAGCCAUUGACCAUCUUCUCUUCUUUGUCAUUGGCACAACCCCAUCACUGACGCCAAUCGCCGACCACCAGCGACAUCGUUCCCGACCGGCUAGCCACUUCGCUGGUGUGGAUUCCAUCCAUCGUCGUCAGGUGCUGCCACGGCUGUAGAUGCAACCACCAUUGGCUCCUCGCGAGGGAUCUGACCGGCAACGUCGACUCAGACCUUCAUCCGAUCCCUUCCUCUCCCUCUCCUUUUCGGACCUAAGCAGGGCACUGGCCAUGCCCUAGUGCUGUCGUGCGGCUUCGCUCACGCCAUUUCCGCAUUGUUUCUUCGUUGGAAUUAGAUCACGGCCACCGGUGCCAACCAGUCGCAACCUCUGCACACCCCAAGUUUUCGAGUUCCCUUCGGCUGUGAGUGCACAGCAGGGUAAUUAGAUUUAGGCUCUGGCCGACAUAGUUGUUUUGACCAUCUUUCUGACAGCAAGGGGUAUUCCGACAAUGGGUUGAUUCAAGAGAAAAUGGAUUAGAGUAGGUUUGGAACUCCAGCCAGCAUAGAUUUGGAACUAUUUGUAGCUCCGGCCAUCCUGGUUUGUGGACGAUCCAUAGCUAGGGCCACCCGAGGAAGCUAUGUCAGCAAAUCCCUAGUUUGCCCAGCCAUUGCCGCACUGUAUCCUUCAUCGUGAUUGCAUCACAGCCAUUGGUGCUAGCACUAACAGUGCUUUCUCGCUACCAAGGUAACUAGCAAACUCUAUCACAUAAUGUGAGUGUUUUAGUGUUUAUUUAGUACUGAUUUGGGUAUCUAGCUUAGGGAUUAGUCCUAUUGCUCUAACCACAAGGUUCCAGCAGCAAUUGUUCCAGCCGCAAGUCAACAGUAGAGCGCACUGAAUUGGGUAAGUUAUGGUUUGAUUCAUACAUGAAUGCAGAUUUUGGAAUGGUGUAGCUGCUGGGAUCGGUGAAUCUAAUCUUAAUUAUGGAGUUAAUUGGUUUUUAUGGAUAGUAAGUUGAUAUUGAUUAGCUUAAAGGAUGAAUGAUUUAGUUGUGGAUUAAUUGAUUUGAAUUGAGUUACAGAUUGGAUUAUGGAAUGAUAAGAGUUUAUGGAUUGAGUUAAACUUAAUAAGAUUAAUGAGAUUGGUUAACUAAUGAGAUUAAGGUUUUAGGUUAGCUAAUUGAUGCACGAUGGAAUAGCUAAACUAUACAAUUUAUUACAGGACUCUAAUUCGAGACAAGCACUUCGACGUAGGGAUUGUUUAGCUUAAUCUACAUUUAAGGUGGAUACUUCUUGCUUUGUCUUUUUAGUACUUUGACCCUAGUGUAUUAGCUUUAUAUUCAGAUAGUUGAUGUUUUUACCUUGGAUCUACUCAUAUUUUUCCUGAGCUUGAUACUUAUCCACUCGAUCUUUGGGAUAAUCGAUAUGAUGUCUAUACAGUCUUUCAUUGUUAUCCAUGAUAUUAAGUAGAUACUAGGUACCAUGCUUACUUACUUUGAAUGCUGUUUAUUUACAUACCUUAUUGCGCAUGCUAGCUUCUUAUAGCAUACCUGAUUUUUUGUUUAUAUGUAUAUAUGAUGACUAUUGCAUCUUGUGCAUGCCAUUACAUGCAUGUCGGCGACCAUGCCUCCUUGUGGUUGAGAGAUUGUUGGCCAAAGUCGCACGCUCGACCACUCAUGGGUAGUGGUAGUUGGAGCAGAUGUCGCUUGUCUUGUUGUGCCAUACUCAGUCAUUCAUGGGUAGUGGUAGCUGGAGUUGUGAGCAGCAGGGACCCCCUUCGCUGUGUAGCUAAAUAGCUACUCAACAUCUAUCCACUCAGUCACUCGAGAGUAGUAGCGGCCUUUGAGUAAGUACAGUUAUCAUCGAUCUGACCUCUCCACCAUACAGGGGUCGUGGUGCAGAGGGGGGGUGACUGUCCGUGCAUACGCUGUUAUUAUUAUACUUGUAGAUGUUGUUGAUUGCUUGCUUAUGCAGUUGUUUUAUUAUAUCCAUGUGAUAUGCUUGCAUAUGUUGAGUUAUGUACCUAUUGCAUGUGCUUAAACAUUGAUUUACUUGUUAGUAGUAUGUAUAUACCUCACAUGUUAUCCUUGUA
This is a long non-coding RNA of Zingiber officinale, 2164 nucleotides long. RefSeq lists it as uncharacterized. NCBI's taxonomy places the organism in Eukaryota, Viridiplantae, Streptophyta, Magnoliopsida, Zingiberales, Zingiberaceae. The record is from RefSeq and is a predicted model, not a curated record. The transcript is spliced from 2 exons.